Molecule: long non-coding RNA, 863 nt
Organism: Lathyrus oleraceus (garden pea)
Lineage: Eukaryota; Viridiplantae; Streptophyta; Magnoliopsida; Fabales; Fabaceae
Exons: 2
Source: RefSeq, a predicted model, not a curated record
GGGCGGACCCAAACGGUCCAACGGGCCCAACGGGCGAAAAUUGUGGGUUCAAUUGGUUUUAAAUGGGCGGUCCGGGUAGAAAUGACUGGACCGCGGGUACCCUGACCCACCCGAAGCCCAUUUUCCAAAAGAUGUUGUUUUCAUAACUCAGCUCUCAUUUCCCUGUUCCCUCAUUUUUUUCACUUUAACGCAAACACUCUCUCUCUCUCUGUCUCUCAGAUGAAUGAAACCCUAUUAGAGCGAUCUCCACUGUUUCUCUUCUAUUUUCAUCAAUCACCACCACCGUUGCUCACCCUCAACUCCACCACAAGGAACCCCUAGCCAACCACCAUAGCACACAGUUACUCUCCUUCACCGACACCACUACUCGAACAAGAAGAACACACACCAUCUCCUUCUCUCACCGACCUUCAUGAACACCAUUUGAAGUUAAGAUCUUCGGUCUACCAUUGUUCUUCUUUCAUUUGCAAGAUAUUGCAGUUAUUGAAGAGGGCUUGUAUUCCAGUGGUUGGUUGAACAGAGGGCCAAAUUGAAGUUGUGAUCUUCGAUCUAAUUUGUUGUUUUGAUUUUUGAUAUUGUUGUUUUGAUUUAAACAAAUGGCUCAAGGUCAAAGUAGCAGUAUGGAAAAAGUUUUAGAGUUGGGGCAAUGUAACUGUAAGUGUAUUAAACUCCUUUCAAUAUUGUUUGUAUGAUGGAUCAAGGUCAAAGUAGCAUGGAUGAUUGGUUAGUUCACAAUUUUGUAUGGGCUUGACAUUUCAUUUGAAUGUGUUGUUUGAUUGUUUAAGCUAGGUAAAAGAAUGGUCUAUAAAGUUAUUCUCUCCUUUGUUGUUUGGAAUCAAUUACUGUGUUUCUGGAUUUCUUAA